Molecule: long non-coding RNA, 500 nt
Organism: Dromaius novaehollandiae (emu)
Lineage: Eukaryota; Metazoa; Chordata; Aves; Casuariiformes; Dromaiidae
Exons: 3
Source: RefSeq, a predicted model, not a curated record
ACCGUACCCUGUUAGCCACGGGCCUGGUGGUGACCCUCCGGGCCCGGCUGGCGUAGUGCAGCGUGCUCAGCGUCUCCGAGAGGCAGCGCGAGGACGGGGAGAUGCAGGCGACCUGCCAACAAGGAAGAGCCGCAGAUCUCCACGUAGGAGGCACUGAGAGCCAGGCCAGCGCCCCGGCUCUGCUCCAGGAGAUGCGCAAAGGACCUUUGCAUCAACCCCAGGAGACAGGGAGCUGCCGGCUGGGCCUCACUCUGCAGAGACACAUGAGGGAGAGCGGCCCAGAGGCCAGGGUGACGGCACCUUUGGGUCCCCAUCGGUGCCUCCUGCCUGCUCCCACCACCCCGGUGCCCAGUCUGGGUGAGAAGAGUGUCCCGCGACCAGGAUCAGCUCCAGGAGUUGUCUCAUCCCGCUGCCUUCGAACACGGCUUCCUGGGAGGCACCGGAGUCGAACACGGCGCUGAAGCCGAAGGUGGCAUCGUGCCUGGCCGCGCUCACCUGCG